Lobosporangium transversale is the source of this 72-nucleotide transfer RNA. It matches the Rfam family "tRNA". Rfam says of the family: Transfer RNA (tRNA) molecules are approximately 80 nucleotides in length. Their secondary structure includes four short double-helical elements and three loops (D, anti-codon, and T loops). Further hydrogen bonds mediate the characteristic L-shaped molecular structure. tRNAs have two regions of fundamental functional importance: the anti-codon, which is responsible for specific mRNA codon recognition, and the 3' end, to which the tRNAs corresponding amino acid is attached (by aminoacyl-tRNA synthetases). tRNAs cope with the degeneracy of the genetic code in two manners: having more than one tRNA (with a specific anti-codon) for a particular amino acid; and 'wobble' base-pairing, i.e. permitting non-standard base-pairing at the 3rd anti-codon position. Lineage: Eukaryota; Fungi; Mortierellomycota; Mortierellomycetes; Mortierellales; Mortierellaceae. The record is from Rfam.
GGGCUUGUAGGAUAAUGGAUAGUCCCCUAGACUUCGAAUCUAGUAAUCCGAGUUCGAUCCUCGGCAAGCUCA